This 448-nucleotide ribosomal RNA is filed under the name uncultured bacterium. RNAcentral's name for it is "partial 16S ribosomal RNA". It matches the Rfam family "Bacterial small subunit ribosomal RNA", at positions 330 to 794 of the family's 1533-position model. The record is from RNAcentral.
UCCAGACUCCUACGGGAGGCAGCAGUGGGGGAUAUUGCACAAUGGGGGGAACCCUGAUGCAGCGACGCCGCGUGGGUGAAGGAGUGCUUCGGCAUGUAAAGCCCUAUCGGCAGGGAAGAAGCAAGACGGUACCUGACUAAGAAGCCCCGGCUAACUACGUGCCAGCAGCCGCGGUAAUACGUAGGGGGCGAGCGUUAUCCGGAUUCACUGGGUGUAGAGGGAGCGUAGACGGCCAUGCAAGCCAGGGGUGGAAGCCCGGGGGGCAACCCCGGGACUGCCCUUGGAACUGCGUGGCUGGAGUGCGGGGGGGGCAGGCGGAAUUCCUGGUGUAGCGGUGAAAUGCGUAGAUAUCAGGAGGAACACCGGCGGCGAAGGCGGCCUGCUGGGCCGUGACUGACGUUGAGGCUCGAGAGCGUGGGGAGCAAACAGGAUUAGAUACCCCAGUAAU